AGUGCGGGUCUAUUCAUUUUGUAGUUUUCGUAGAAAAGUCAAAGAGAGGUUUGUAAGAACUGUUUUUUUCCUAUCACUUACGCUUUUGCCUUUUUAGCCAUUCUAUAGAAUGGUUAAAUAGCGGUAUUUUAGUUUUCGUCGACGUUUUGGCGAUUCCUGUUUAUUUUUUAUGAUUCAGCGAGCCACGCUCCUGGGAUGUACACAUUUUCUACCGCCAGAUCAUGUGUUUAUAUUAAACACUGAUUUAUAGAGCGUUAACCCCAAUGCCUUACUUUCGCGGAGACGAGUAAAACUUUUAUGUUCUUGUACGAAUGUGCAACUAAUACGUAGGGUUGGAUUAGGUUGGUAAUCCAUCGAAAUGGAUUUAUGUAAAUUUAGUGUUUCUAUGGUAAUUGAUGGUUUAUUUCGGUUUGCUUCACGAGUUUCAUUGAGAAUCAAAUUGAAAGACUGUAGAGAUUUUGAUGUCAAUUUGUGCUUAACAUUCUAAUGGAAAUGCCAAUUUCUUAUCUAAGAGUGUGUAAAUAUGCCAACGGGAAGAUUAAAUAACUUUGUAUAAUUUUUUGUCAUUUGGCUGGGAGUCCUGAACUGUAAAUAUCCAACUUUAAAAGCGACAAAUAGAUAUCGGUAGAGAAGAAAUAUGUUAUUUCACCUGUUUAUAAGUAAGCCAUUACGUUGACUGAAUAAUUCAGAGCAUUCGGAAUAAUAUUGCCAUAAACUAUGUCUUUAACGACUGUCUAAACAAAUAGUAUCUAAUAAAAAGCCAGGAUGAAGCUGUAAAAACUAAGAGGGGCUUGAAAGCUGACUAGAGCGAAGAAAAAAAGGAAUAGUUUUCUCAAAGCAAUAAAAUUAAUAAAUAAAAUUCUGGUUUACGCCUAAGACCAGUUCUUUAUAACAACAUUAUACUGACAUGUACUCAAAAUAAACUUCUCCCCCCCCUCCCUCCCUCCUACAAUAUUUCUCAACCACUCUCUUUAUUUCUUUCUUCAUCGAAACAAUAACAGACUGAAAAGAAGACAAAAUUGAAAUUGGUUAAGAACAAAUGCACAAACGAAAUAUAAUUCAAAGAGCGAAAAGCAUUGUCCUAGCCUGCAAAUGCGACACUUGACAAACCUAAGUAACAAACGCAGACCCAUUAUUAAUUUGGUGUUACGUUUCAUUGUUUUUACGUUCUAUUUUGUAUUAUAUAGCACGUAAAUAAUUCGUUACCGUGAUAUUAAAAGUGUUAGAUAUUAUUGGCUAACGCAAGAAUCGCCAGCAUCUGGCACAUAAAAGGAAUAAUGGAAAGAAUGUUUUCUAUAAAAUAUGAUUGAUGAUGCCCAAAAUUUUUCGAUAGCCGCACAAUCUCGUUAGAUCGAUUUCCCUGUUGACUAACUUGUCAAAGAUAGUCUGAGUCUUAUUUAAGCGAACUUUAUUUUUAUUUAUUUCUUUUUUUUCAUCUAAAUAGGUUGUUAGAAAGGAAAGACACUUCUGCCUCAAACGAAGAAAGUAAAGUAAGUCUGUUCAUUGCUAUCCUAAAUUAAAUUAUCCCAUAUCAAAAGCGCUAGGUCUAUCUUUUGUACUACAACUAUUACAAAAUAAUAUGGUAAAUCAAUUAAAAUCGUUUUAAUUGAUAGAACGCACCUGCUUUUGACAUCUUCUAAAAUGUAAAAAAUAUAUGCAAAUGAUUCGAUUGUGACAUUUUACCAAAGUAAUUAUUAGAAAUGUCAAGACAAAGUUUGAAGUAAUUGGUCGAUGCUUCCCGUGUUAUCGUCGACAAAACUGUCGUUUUAGGAAAUGAUUAGUAUCAUUCUCUGUACAAAAGUGGAAUAAAUAAUCACCUGUUGCCAAUUCUAUUUCAAUAGCAAUGGUCUUAUUCAGAUUUUUUUAAUUUUGUUCCUAUUUUUAUUAUAUUUUUUCUUUGUUUAUCAAUCAACCAUUUAUCCGAAAAGAAAUUAAAUUAAGCAUGGCGAUCUACUUUCAUCAAAGCGCAAAAGCGAUAGCUCUCAUUAAUUGUUCUCUACCAUUACUUGGGAGCAUCAUUUGUAUAGGUUUAAGCCUAUUGAAAGAUUUUGAAGCGUCUACAGCAACACAUUGCCGAGUAAGGAUCUGGUUUGUUAAGCUGAAAAAAUAAAAUUACCUAUUACGAUAUGCACAGGUACCAAAUUACCUUCCAAGUAUUAGUUCGGCAAUUGGUGGAUUCGCUCCGCAAAAAUAUAUUUGGAGGAUUUGUAUAGGUUUUCAUUCCAUGCAAAGACUGAGUAUAUGCGUGAUGUACUAUGAAUUCUAUCGCUCAAAAAACCUAUUUUCCGAAAGCGCUCCAUAUAGAAUUUUGGCGACGUUGUCGCCGAUUUUGCAUGCCCUAGAGAAUAUCUUUCUCAUGACUUUGUCGAUGAUCUCGUCCACGGAGAAUGCUGGGGUUCACGAGUUUAGUUUUAUUGGAUUCAUGGUGUGUUCCUUGUUCUAUAUGUUAUUUGCAUGCGUCUUGUGCUACGUGACUUCCUCCAAUUCAGAGGGUUGGAAAGAGAAAGUGAGUUCUUUAGUAGUUUUUGAAGAAUAUGCGUUUACGAAAUCUAAGCCUUUUUUAAUGCCAUUUUAAUAAUUUCUAAGUCUUUAUAUGCAACUCUAUUUGUUUUCACUUUUUCGAAAUGGCAUUCGACCGAAUUAAUCGGAAGCGAUCGAGUGUAUACAAAGCUAAAGACGUUUGAUACCCCCUUUUUCUGUCUUUGGCGUAAAAAAUUGAUGAUGCGCUUGACGCUUAGCGUCUUGGUGUUCUCGGACUCAUGAUAUAAAGAAAAAAAAAGAAAUUUCUAGACGACUUAUUUCUUUCAGGAAAAGAAAAAUUUCCUACAAAUAACCGGUUUAUUCUUAUUCAACUUAACGUCCUUUUUGGUUUCUCUCUACUUUUUCUUUAGGCAUAAUGCCUAUUGCGAACCAGGAAGUAGGAAUUUUUUAAAGAAUUAAUUUUUUCCCCCAAAAGCAAAUGAUUUAAAACAAUUUUCUUCCUUUAUUUUUCAGUUUACACAUAUUUCGCGGCUGCUGAAUAUAUAGUCGUUUGGUCCAAUAUCCUAUUUCACGGCGUAAUUUUUCUUGUAUAUUUUCCCAAUGGCAUAUUAACAUUUAAGGUUGAUGAUUCCAAGAAAAUCAAAUAAAUUAAUUACUUUUAAAAGGGAAAGAUUUUUUGCAAAAAAAUUUUUUUUGUACGUCUAAAUAAAUCAAGUAAAAAAAAAAGGGAAUACGAAUUACGUAAAUUUUGAGGUUAUGGAUUUCUGUCAAAUGCAGUUGGCGUUCUUUUAUAGGGAAUCGAUUCGAGUUUUUUUUAAGUAGGCCUAGCGUUGAUUUACGGUUAGAAAUCUUUUUGUCUAUAUCGAUCCAAUAUCCUCCUAAAUUUUUCUGUUUGCGUUUAUUUUCUCUAAAAAAAGUUUCAGUGCAACGACAAGAUGCAAAAACAAGCGUGAGUUUUAAAAAGAAAAUCAAAAAAUAUAUAGGAUGGAAAGCGUCGAAAACGAUGCUAUAAAACCGGAAACGGAUGGAAAUGACUCCAGAAAAAUAGACGAAACCAUGGCUGUCGCUAAGGCAGAAAUGGGAUGGGGCAAAUAUAGACCCCAGUGUUUGCAAAAGUGUGCAUCUAUAAAAAUUUUUAUAGCUUGUACAAGUAUGUUGGCAAUGUUCUCAUCGGCUCUCACAGCCGGCUACAAUUCGGCCGUUUUGACAACAAUUGAGACGCGUUUUGAUGUCUCAUCUUCUAAGGCAUCUCUAUUAACGGCCGCUUACGAAACUGCAGCAGUAGGAUUCUUGAGUAUAGUUAGUUUCUUAGGUGCAAAGCGUCAUAUACCAUUCUGGAUCGCAUCUGGAGUACUUAUAAUGGCUUGUGGUUCAUUUGUUAUGGUAACUCCACAUUUGUUUGUUAAACCUUAUUCCUUAAGAUACAGUUUGGACAACGUUACAGAAGAGAAUUUUUGUAAUCCGAUUAAAAAGGUUCUAAGUGACGUAAUCGACAAAGGGAGGUGCGAUAAAUUCGAUAGUAGCAUAUUUGCCAUCGCAGUUCUUUGUUGUGCCCAAAUGAUGAUGGGUAUUGGAUCAACUCCUAUUCUUACACUUGGUCCAUUAUACAUAGACAAUCAUGUGUCAAAAGAUAGGGCUCCUAGUUUCAUAAGUUUCCUGUACGCAUUUGGAAGUGUCGGUCCAGUAAUCGGCUUUGCAGUUGGCUCUUUAGUGUUAACAUUCCAUGUUGACUUUCUAUCAGCUGACACUAAACAGUUGAAUAUGCAUUCAACGGACUCCCAGUGGGUUGGAGCUUGGUGGGGAGGUUAUUUGAUUUUAGGAGGUCUCCUUAUUUGCCUAACUAUACCUAUGUAUAGUUUCCCAAAAAUGCUAAGCCGGCGAGAGAUAGAUACAGAAAGUGAAGAGAAAGGUAAAGGAGAACUUGAAGAGCCUCUUAACGAGAGCACUGGAGGAAAAGAUGAAGAUAAUGAUGGAGCAUCGUACGGAACUAGCUUAAGACAGCUUCCGAGAGCUGUUUUAUCUAUUGUGAAAAAUGCUCUUUUCAUGGUGACAACUAUAGGAAUAACAACGGAAAUUUUUGUCGUUAUAGGAUUUAUUCAAUUCACACCUAAAUACAUGGAAAACCAAUUUCUUUUGAGUCAAUCGCAAGCAAAUCUCUUAACUGGGUUAAUACCUGUUCCCGGGUGUAUGUUUGGUAUUCUAAUAGGAGGGUACAUUCUCCGGAGGUUUCAAUUGCAAGCAAAAGGCGCCAUCCAACUCACUCUAGCUGUCAAUAUCGUUAUCUUAAUGGGCUUUCUUGUUCUUUUUACGUUAGGCUGCGAUAAUCCGAAUUUAGCUGGCAUAACAUCUCGAUAUUUUCAAAGCAACUCGUCUGAUUUCACGCAAAAUUUACCAAACUUGACUGCUUCUUGCAAUGAUCAUUGUAGGUGCUCCGAUAAUCAUCUUAAUUUUGUCUGUGGAGCAAAUGGUUUAACGUAUUUUUCACCGUGUCAUGCUGGAUGUAAAUUCAACUACACCGAUUGUGAAUGUGUUAUAAAGGAUCUUAAUCAUAAAGGACAUCAAUUAAGUAAUUUAACAGCAUUGGUCCAGGAUAGUCCCUGUAAAAGACAAUGCAGCAGUUUUCCUGUAUAUGUGAUCAUGCUGUUUGGUUUGACUUUACUGGUCGGUAUCACUCAAAUGCCAUUGCUGAUGAUCUCUCUAAGAAGUGUUAAAGAUGCUGAACGUUCACUCGCAUUAGGCGUUCAAUUGAUAUUUUUGCGUUUGUUAGGAAAUGUACCUUCUCCGCUAGCAUUUGCCGGCCUAAUUGACAGGUCUUGUUUAAAGUGGAGGGGAGCCUGUGGUUCAUGGGGAAAGUGCCUUUUUUACGAUAAUUUGCAUUUUCGAAAAAAUUAUAUUGGUUUGGGAGGAGUUGUCAAAGGUUUUGGAUUUUUAGUUUACUGGUGUGUUUGGGGAUUAAUAAUCUGGAAAAAUAAACGGGAACAAAAGGAACAUUUGAAACUGGAAAGGCAACAAGCGGGUGAAGAAGCUAUUGCAUUUAAAGGAACAAGCGAAUUUAAGUGUAUAGAGCAGGAACAAGAUACAAAAAUGUAACAAAGCAAAAAAAGAAAAAUUUCAUAAUGCUCUCUGAAACAUUUUUCUCUGUUAUUUUUGAUAAGAUGAACAACCUUACUCAUGACACAUAAUGUGUUCUUUCCAUCCCUUCCCAACGUCAGGUGUUCUGAUUAAAGCAAAAAAAUGAGAGAACAUAUUUUUUUUAAUGAUAUAAUUAUUAUCUACUGUCUGUUAUUCGCCAAAUCUCGAAAAAAUGGUUGUGAAACUUGUGCUGUGUUAAAAAUUAUUUUGCUAUUCCUUUUGUUUUCUUGCAGCUGAAUCUGUCGUUUCAAAUUUGUGAAAAAAGCGAAAAAUGUAUUUUAAAAUUCUUGCUUAUGUCUUCAUUUUUGACUUAAAUAAACACGGAUCUAAGGGAAA
Molecule: unclassified non-coding RNA, 5949 nt
Filed under: Dimorphilus gyrociliatus
Lineage: Eukaryota; Metazoa; Annelida; Polychaeta; Dinophilidae
Description: solute carrier organic anion transporter family member
Source: RNAcentral